UCACAACAGUUCGGAUUAUUGGGCGUAAGAGGACGCGGGCGGUUUCUUAAGUCUGGUGUGAAAUCUCUCGGCUUAACUGAGAGGGGUCAUCAGAUACUGGGAAACUUGAGGGCAGCAGGGGGAAAUGGAAUUCCCGGUGUAGCGGUGAAAUGCGUUGAUAUCGGGAGGAACACCAGUGGCGAAGGCGGUUUCCUGGGCUGUCCCUGACGCUGAGGUCCGAAAGCGUGGGGAGCAAACCGGAUUAGAUACCCGGGUAGUCCACGCCCUAAACGUUGUACACUAGGUAUGGGGGGUAUCGACCCUCUCCGUGCCGAAGCUAACGCCUUAAGUGUACCGCCUGGGGACUACGGCCGCAAGGUUAAAACUCAAAGGAAUUGACGGGGGCCCGCACAAGCAGCGGAGCGUGUGGUUUAAUUCGAUGCAACACGAAGAACCUUACCAGGGCUUGACAUGCUAGUAGUAGGGACCCGAAAAGGCGACGACCCGCCGCAAGGCGGGAGCUAGCACAGGUGCUGCAUGGUUGUCGUCAGCUCGUGCCGUGAGGUGUUGGGUUAAGUCCCGCAACGAGCGCAACCCCUAUUGCCAGUUGUGUUUUUCUGGCGAGACUGCCCCGCAAAACGGGGAGGAAGGUGGGGAUGACGUCAAAUCAGCACGGCCCUUACGCCCUGGGCCACACACACGCUACAAUGGACGGUACAACGGGUUGCUACAGAGCGAUCUGACGCUAAUCCCUGUAAAACCGUCCCUAGUUCGGAUUGCAGGCUGAAACUCGCCUGCAUGAAGUCGGAGUUGCUAGUAACCGCAGGUCAGCAUACUGCGGUGAAUACGUUCUCGGGCCUUGUACACACCGCCCGUCACGUCAUGGAAGCCGGUAACACCUGAAGUCGAUGAUUCAACCCGCAAGGGAGAUAGUCGCCCAGGGUGGACUGGUAACUGGGACGAAGUCGUAACAAGGUAACCAGGACUGGA
This 969-nucleotide ribosomal RNA is filed under the name uncultured bacterium. RNAcentral's name for it is "bacterial SSU rRNA". It matches the Rfam family "Bacterial small subunit ribosomal RNA", at positions 532 to 1510 of the family's 1533-position model. The record is from RNAcentral.